Molecule: non-coding RNA, 430 nt
Organism: Paramuricea clavata
Lineage: Eukaryota; Metazoa; Cnidaria; Anthozoa; Malacalcyonacea; Plexauridae
Source: the annotation of a GenBank genome assembly
CACGACUUUGUAAUCGGGACCCACGCCUUUUUACCCACGACCCACGCCUUUUUACCCACGACCCACGCCUUUUUGCCCACGACCCACGCCUUUUUACCCACGACCCACGCCUUUUUACCCACGACCCACGCUUUUUAACCCACGACCCACGCCUUUUUACCCACUACCCACGCCUUUUUACCCACGACUUUUUACCCACGACUUUUUACCCACGACCCACGACAUUCUACCCACGACCCACGACUGUUAGCUAGUCCCGUGAAAACCCGGCGUACGUACCGCGUCGCCGCCGAAUUGCUUAGUGUUAUCCCGUUUCCUGUACGAUGCAUGCAUUUUGCAGUCUAUUAAUCCAAAAAACUUGCGCGUUGGAGCAAUGUCUAAUUGAAAUUAAUGUCUAAUUGAAAUUAAUAAAAUUAUAUGUUAUUAAAAC